CCGGCUGGGGAUGGGCCCGCGGCCUAUCAGCUUGUUGGUGGGGUAGUGGCCUACCAAGGCGACGACGGGUAGCCGGCCUGAGAGGGUGACCGGCCACACUGGGACUGAGACACGGCCCAGACUCCUACGGGAGGCAGCAGUGGGGAAUAUUGCGCAAUGGGCGAAAGCCUGACGCAGCGACGCCGCGUGGGGGAUGACGGCCUUCGGGUUGUAAACCUCUUUCAGCAGGGACGAAGCGCAAGUGACGGUACCUGCAGAAGAAGCACCGGCCAACUACGUGCCAGCAGCCGCGGUAAUACGUAGGGUGCAAGCGUUGUCCGGAAUUAUUGGGCGUAAAGAGCUCGUAGGCGGUUCGUCGCGUCGGCUGUGAAAACCCGGAGCUCAACUUCCGGCCUGCAGUCGAUACGGGCGGACUUGAGUUCCGCAGGGGAGACUGGAAUUCCUGGUGUAGCGGUGAAAUGCGCAGAUAUCAGGAGGAACACCGGUGGCGAAGGCGGGUCUCUGGGCCGAAACUGACCCUGAGGAGCGAAAGCGUGGGGAGCGAACAGGAUUAGAUACCCUGGUAGUCCACGCCGGUAACGUUGGGCGCUAGGUGUGGGGGCCAUUCCAAGGUCUUCCGUGCCGCAGCUAACGCAUUAAGCGCCCCGCCUGGGGAGUACGGCCGCAAGGCUAAAACUCAAAGGAAUUGACGGGGGCCCGCACAAGCGGCGGAGCAUGUUGCUUAAUUCGAUGCAACGCGAAGAACCUUACCUAGGCUUGACAUGCACGGAAAUCUCGCAGAGAUGCGGGGUGCCUUUGGCGUCGUGCACAGGUGGUGCAUGGUUGUCGUCAGCUCGUGUCGUGAGAUGUUGGGUUAAGUCCCGCAACGAGCGCAACCCUCGUUCCAUGUUGCCAGCACGUGAUGGUGGGGACUCAUGGGAGACUGCCGGGGUCAACUCGGAGGAAGGUGGGGAUGACGUCAAAUCAUCAUGCCCCUUAUGUCUAGGGCUGCAAACAUGCUACAAUGGCCGGUACAAAGGGCUGCGAUACCGCGAGGUGGAGCGAAUCCCAAAAAGCCGGUCUCAGUUCGGAUUGGGGUCUGCAACUCGACCCCAUGAAGUUGGAGUCGCUAGUAAUCGCAGAUCAGCAA
RNAcentral lists this ribosomal RNA (1129 nucleotides) under Blastococcus sp. BMG572. RNAcentral's name for it is "bacterial SSU rRNA". It matches the Rfam family "Bacterial small subunit ribosomal RNA", at positions 215 to 1355 of the family's 1533-position model. The record is from RNAcentral. Lineage: Bacteria; Bacillati; Actinomycetota; Actinomycetes; Geodermatophilales; Geodermatophilaceae.